CAAGGAAAGCCUUGCAAUUCCUUUUCUAGUAACCUGUCUGACCACAGUGAAAAUAGGUACCUUAUCUGGAGAUUUUCUUCUCCUUCUUCCUCUUCACUAUACCACCUUUAGGGUUCAAUCUUUUCUUUGAACCCUUCUUGCCUAUCUUCUUCUUGGAUAUCCAAUCCAUAAGAAGAAGUGGAGCCUUAUCCUUCUUGAUAUGGCUCUCAGUUGUUUUAAGCAUAUUCAAUAGCUCAGGCAAGG
Molecule: long non-coding RNA, 243 nt
Filed under: Elaeis guineensis (African oil palm)
Lineage: Eukaryota; Viridiplantae; Streptophyta; Magnoliopsida; Arecales; Arecaceae
Description: long non-coding RNA (EGUI_LNC061715)
Source: RNAcentral